RNAcentral lists this non-coding RNA (242 nucleotides) under Lactobacillus sp. RNAcentral's name for it is "T-box sequence". It matches the Rfam family "T-box leader". Rfam says of the family: Uncharged tRNA acts as the effector for transcription antitermination of genes in the T-box leader family. T-boxes are found upstream of many aminoacyl-tRNA synthetase genes and some amino acid biosynthetic genes usually in Gram-positive bacteria. The record is from RNAcentral. Lineage: Bacteria; Bacillati; Bacillota; Bacilli; Lactobacillales; Lactobacillaceae.
UUAAAUGCAGUGAAAAAGACGAGUAAAUAAUUUAUUUCUUUAAGUGAAAUGGUGAUAGUGCAAAACCGUUAGACCCUGAAUUAUUGAAAAACACUUUUAGCAGCACGCUGAAAUUUACGUGAAAGUAGGUUGUGUCGUCUCCAGUACGUUACCACGCUGGUGGAGCAUGUUAGUGCUUCAUGAGUUGGCCCUUAUUUGGGGCAAUUAAGGUGGUACCGCGGAAAAAGCCUUUCGUCCUUGUU